This 302-nucleotide ribosomal RNA is filed under the name uncultured bacterium. RNAcentral's name for it is "bacterial SSU rRNA". It matches the Rfam family "Bacterial small subunit ribosomal RNA", at positions 775 to 1067 of the family's 1533-position model. The record is from RNAcentral.
GGAUUAGAUACCCUGGUAGUCCACGCCGUAAACGAUGUGCACUAGAUCGAGGGGGUUCUGACACCGCUCUCGGUCGAAGCGAAAGUGUUUAGUGCACCGCCUGGGGAGUACGGUCGCAAGGCUAAAACUCAAAGGAAUUGACGGGGGCUCACACAAGCGGUGGAGCAUGUGGCUUAAUUCGAAGCAACGCGAAGAACCUUAUCCUGGGUUUGACAUGCAUGGAUUAGCUCUGUGAAAGCAGAGUAACGCGGCUUGCCGUGGAACAUGCACAGGUGCUGCAUGGCUGUCGUCAGCUCGUGCUG